CCAAGGGAUGACCUCUAGUACGGCGAGUGAGCGGCAGAGCUCANAUUUGAAAUCUGGUCCUUUAGUUGCCCGUUGUGUGUUGUGUUCAUUGUGUCUUUGAGUGUGUCCUUGUCUUGGUUCCUGGCACCAUUGCGUCUGAGAGCGUGAUGCUCCCCUCUGGCGAGCUUUCCUAUUCUCCGGACGACUUUUUCUGAUAGUCAAUGUGUUUGUGAAUGCGUGGCAAAUUGCGUGGUAAGUUCCAUACUGAGCCAGAGUCUUGUCGCGAGACCGUAUCUGUGAACGAUACAUUGAUGGACUUAUGAAAAGAACUUUGACAACACAGUGAAAUUGUUCAUGGGGUUGGGUAUUGGGCUCGGCAUUUGGUCUGCCCUGCUGUUCUUCGCGUGCGCUCCCCUCUGUGGGGCUUGUGGCUCUCCAUCAUUUCUCUCCGCCGGCGACUGUUCUGGCGACCGGGUCUCUCUCUGAGUGUUGUAGCUCCCUCCGUAUUGUUCUAGCUUAUUGGGUACUGCUCGCUGGGAUUGAGGACCGCGCUUCACCGCGGAUGUUCGCCUGUCGGUUAACUGCCACCCGUCAUGCUACCCUCACUGCGGAUGCUUGCGUCUGUGCCACUGUCUGGUUGUGAAACUCAUCCUCGGUCUGACCCUUCACGUACGUUGUCGCCUUCUCGUGCUCUUUCUACCAUGCUUGAUGUUAUCAGAUUAGUUUGAGUAACACCAUAGAUGUUGAGAUCCGCCUGAUGGUGAUGUAUCCCUAAGUAACUCGAAUCCAGACUAAACUCUGGUCGAAGCUCCUAAUCGUUCUUACAUUCUGGUCAUUCGUCCAAUUUACUUAUCGGGCCGUCUGACUACUCGUUCCUGCCAAUAUCUCGCUCCUGACAACAUAUCCUCCUAGCUAUCUUAUGCUCUUAUCCGUUUGAUUAGGUAUCUCGAAUGAUUAAUGACCUUGGCGAAGACACGUCCUUGACCUAUUCUCAAACUCUCUGUUGGUUUGAUGUCCUCGUAGCUUAGUUGGACGAGCACUUAUGAGUGCAUAUUUGUAGGGGGAACCUUUUUGGUAGACAAAAAA
RNAcentral lists this ribosomal RNA (1065 nucleotides) under Pichia sporocuriosa. RNAcentral describes it as "partial large subunit ribosomal RNA". It matches the Rfam family "Eukaryotic large subunit ribosomal RNA", at positions 65 to 1151 of the family's 3401-position model. The record is from RNAcentral. Lineage: Eukaryota; Fungi; Ascomycota; Pichiomycetes; Pichiales; Pichiaceae.